RNAcentral lists this ribosomal RNA (490 nucleotides) under uncultured bacterium. Its description in RNAcentral is "partial 16S ribosomal RNA". It matches the Rfam family "Bacterial small subunit ribosomal RNA", at positions 28 to 507 of the family's 1533-position model. The record is from RNAcentral.
GAUGAACGCUAGCUACAGGCUUAACACAUGCAAGUCGCGGAGCAGCAUGGGGGUUGCUUGCAAUCCCCGAUGGCGACCGGCGCACGGGUGAGUAACGCGUAUCCAACCUGCCCUUCACCACGGGAUAACCCGGCGAAAGUCGGACUAAUACCGUAUGUUGUCCAUUGACGGCAUCCGAUUUGGACGAAAGGUUUGGCGGUGAAGGAUGGGGAUGCGUCCGAUUGGCUGGACGGCGGGGUGACGGCCCACCGUGGCGACGAUCGGUAGGGGUGCUGAGAGGAAGGUCCCCCACACUGGAACUGCGACACGGUCCAGACUCCUACGGGAGGCAGCAGUGAGGAAUAUUGGUCAAUGGGCGUAAGCCUGAACCAGCCAAGUAGCGUGCAGGAUGACGGCCCUAUGGGUUGUAAACUGCUUUUAUGCGGGGAUAAAGUGGCCCACGUGUGGGUUUUUGCAGGUACCGCAUGAAUAAGGACCGGCUAAUUCCGUG